AUUGAACGCUGGCGGCAGGCCUAACACAUGCAAGUCGAACGGUAACAGGAAACAGCUUGCUGUUUCGCUGACGAGUGGCGGACGGGUGAGUAAUGUCUGGGAAACUGCCUGAUGGAGGGGGAUAACUACUGGAAACGGUAGCUAAUGCCGCAUAACGUCGCAAGACCAAAGAGGGGGACCCUCGGGCCUCUUGCCAUCGGAUGUGCCCAGAUGGGAUUAGCUUGUUGGUGGGGUAACGGCUCACCAAGGCGACGAUCCCUAGCUGGUCUGAGAGGAUGACCAGCCACACUGGAACUGAGACACGGUCCAGACUCCUACGGGAGGCAGCAGUGGGGAAUAUUGCACAAUGGGCGCAAGCCUGAUGCAGCCAUGCCGCGUGUAUGAAGAAGGCCUUCGGGUUGUAAAGUACUUUCAGCUGGGAGGAAGGGAGUGAAGUUAAUACCUUUGCUCAUUGACGUUACCCGCAGAAGAAGCACCGGCUAACUCCGUG
RNAcentral lists this ribosomal RNA (490 nucleotides) under uncultured bacterium. RNAcentral describes it as "partial 16S ribosomal RNA". It matches the Rfam family "Bacterial small subunit ribosomal RNA", at positions 30 to 507 of the family's 1533-position model. The record is from RNAcentral.